RNAcentral lists this ribosomal RNA (491 nucleotides) under uncultured bacterium. RNAcentral's name for it is "bacterial SSU rRNA". It matches the Rfam family "Bacterial small subunit ribosomal RNA", at positions 32 to 518 of the family's 1533-position model. The record is from RNAcentral.
AACGCUAGGGACAGGCCUAACACAUGCAAGUCAGGGGCAGCACAAGGAGCAAUCUGAGGUGGCGACCGGCGCACGGGUGAGUAACACGUAUGCAACCUGCCUGUAAGCGGGGAAUAACCCGUUGAAAGACGGACUAAUACCGCAUAAUACUAAAUUACUGCAUGGUAAUUAUUUAAACAUUUAUGGCUUACAGAUGGGCAUGCGCAUGAUUAGCUAGUUGGAGAGGUAACGGCUCCCCAAGGCAACGAUCAUUAGGGGUUCUGAGAGGAAGGUCCCCACCACUGGUACUGAGACACGGACCAGACUCCUACGGGAGGCAGCAGUGAGGAAUAUUGGUCAAUGGACGAGAGUCUGAACCAGCCAAGUCGCGUGCAGGAAGAAUGUCCUAAUGGAUUGUAAACUGCUUUUGCAGGGGGAAUAAAGUGCAUCACGUGCGAUGUUUUGUAUGUACUCUGCGAAUAAGGAUCGGCUAACUCCGUGCCAGCAGCAGC